Molecule: long non-coding RNA, 516 nt
Filed under: Pan troglodytes (chimpanzee)
Lineage: Eukaryota; Metazoa; Chordata; Mammalia; Primates; Hominidae
Description: long non-coding RNA NONPTRT000637
Source: RNAcentral
GAAACAGGUGGCAGCAGUUGGUGUGUGACAAACUGGGGUGUGGGCUCCAGGAAGUGGGACUCCAUGCCCCAAGUCACCUUGUUGAAGAUCCUGGCUUCCAUGAGGAGCAAUGCCCUGAUGCCCUCCUCCUUCGCUCUCUACGGGCUGGCUUCGUCUACCAUCUGUACAGCUGCAGCUCCAAAAUCUCUUCCACAGUCCACACCUCCCACUCAGCUCCAGACCCCAUCACUGCUGCCAGCUGGUCAUCCCCCCGAAGGAGGCUCAGAGUCUACCUCCCAGGCCCUUGGCCACUGAGCUCUUGGAGAGUCCUCUCUCCCUGUGCCCUUUGCAGCUCCACCAACCCAACCACCAGCUCCCUCCUCCAAGCCUCACAUUCUCCACCUCCAGGCUUUGAUCAGGCACAGAACGCCCUUCCAUGGAAUGCCCCUCCAUGCCUGUGUUUCCAACCUACUGAACCUGGUGGACUGACUGCCCGAAUCUGAGACUUAGGUCAGAAGGCACCUCUGUGAAGCCUGC